Molecule: long non-coding RNA, 1000 nt
Filed under: Ricinus communis (castor bean)
Lineage: Eukaryota; Viridiplantae; Streptophyta; Magnoliopsida; Malpighiales; Euphorbiaceae
Description: long non-coding RNA (RCOM_LNC000093)
Source: RNAcentral
GCAGGUUGGUGCUCUCUAGCCUAGUUCUUGACAUAUUCUAAUCAUACUCAUGUCUGUAAGCAAUGCAGGCAUUAAACAGGGUCAUAAGUCUUGCUUACUUCCAACUCGGACCAUUAGGAUAGUGUAUAGCCAAGAGUAAUGGUAGAUGUGAUGCAUCUUCAUAUGUGCUUCAGUUAUAAUAUUGUGUCCCAAUGAAGCAAAUGACUGGUUCCCACACUUGCUGUUUUCACAAGUUUUCCAUACAUGCAGAACCAGAAUCACAUGUAAACCCUUUAAAAGAAAACAAAUAUAUAAUGGAUCAGUCUUCAAAAUCCAAAUUAUCACUGCCUGUCAAUCAGAGAAUGAUGCUCUAUAACACAGGAAAACUGAAAUUACAGGGGGUCAUGGCUGAUUGAAUAUGUAUUAUUUAUUAGUUGUAAAAAGAAUUCAUGGCUAUUAUUGGCAAUUAAAAUUUUCAUUUCGAUAGCUUGUAUUGCAGAGAAGUGUCUUUUCUUAAGCUGCCAUGAUUAAAAAUUCUAUAAUAUUUACAUGGAUAAAUCUCUUUCACUCUUUCCCAUUCAAAUUUCAGUUGCAUUCAAUGUUAUCUAAUCUCUAAUGUUUAACAAAAGUGCAAAUUUUACACCAGGAAUGGAUACAAGGGCAUACCGUCUAAGCUGCUUGAAGGACAGCAGUGUCUUUGAAGUUGAUUUUCCAGAAGUCUUAGGAAUGAAAACAACUCUUCUACAGGCAGCCAUGGAAUCAAUAGAUGAUCAGCAGCGCCCACAAAUGAUAGCAGAAUCCCUAAACAGAGUAGCAGCUGACAUCAGCAAAAAUGACUGGCUCGAAAAACUACAGAUAUCAGGGUUUGUGCCACAGAAGAACACAGUCUGGGUGCUAGAAGGUAUCCUCUACUACCUCUCCCACACCCACGCCAUGCAAGUGCUGAAGAUCAUAGCUGACAAGUGUGCCCUUGCCCACACAGUUCUCUUGGCAGAUUUCAUGAAUAAACCAUCCACCACUC